Non-coding RNA from Chiloscyllium plagiosum (whitespotted bambooshark), 444 nucleotides. Lineage: Eukaryota; Metazoa; Chordata; Chondrichthyes; Orectolobiformes; Hemiscylliidae. The record is from RefSeq and is a predicted model, not a curated record.
AUUGGAUUUUAGAUGGGGAAAUGGCAGCCUGACAUAGAAUGGAAGAAGAGGCCUGUCUUACUGGGAGGCGAAGAUGAUUGACAUUGUUGAAAUUGAAUGCUUCUUCUGAUUGCGUGCUGAGUCGCCAGAUCUCAGCGCUGCUGAGAGUUGAUUGGUCUGCGUGAAGGGUCAGUGUCAGGUAUGAUAUGCGGGUACAUCUUGGGCGGCAGUGUCUCUUAUAGAAAUGGUGUUGGAGCUCCCUAGUAGGCACAAGGCCAGCGUGGUUUCCUCCUGUGGUCAGAGUCCUUUUCUGUAUGGAUUUGUCCAAAACUUCAGCGAUCUGGGACAUUCGACUUCAGACCUUCGGGUGACCGUCUUCCAAGGCGAACUUUGGGACAGACAACAAUGAAAAGUGGCCGAGCAGAGGCUGAUAGCUAAGUUCAGUAUCAAUGGGGAUGGCCUCAA